AGGGGUAAAGAGCAAUGGAAGUAAGACGUCCUGUCAUCAGUAACUGCAGACUGAGAUCCAAAAAGCGAAGCUACUGCUAAAGAAGCCGCUUGUUUUGUUCUUCAAUCUCUACAGCCUUCCAGAGGAUGGUGUCUGGAGCUUCUUUGAUUCUUUGUACUUCAGAGGCCAGAUGGAUCAGGGGAUCAUUCCAGGAGCGCAGCACUCCCAGUACUAAAUUCAGUGCACUGAAGCUGAACACAGCCAGGCUUGUUACGUACCGAGGGCUGUGCCAAUAGAAUUGCUGAAUUAUGCACUGAGAAGAUGGCAAUACCUGGGAUUGCAAGGAUAUCACCACCAUGAAACUGAUAAAGAUUUCUCCCUGGCACACCCCCGUUCAUACACCUGUGCUUAUUUUUUCUCCACAGUAUUUUCAAAUAGUAUCUGUGAUCCUAGGCUGAACGAGACCAU
Long non-coding RNA from Chroicocephalus ridibundus (black-headed gull), 447 nucleotides. RefSeq lists it as uncharacterized. NCBI's taxonomy places the organism in Eukaryota, Metazoa, Chordata, Aves, Charadriiformes, Laridae. The transcript is spliced from 3 exons. The record is from RefSeq and is a predicted model, not a curated record.